UCUCCUCGGUAUGCUGAUCAAGCAUUGGCAGCAGCUGUUUUCUCCCCAACUCACAAGUCUGCUGUUCUCAAUCAAUUCCAGCAGCAGCAAAGCAUGUUAUCACCGAUCAACACAAAUUUUUCUCCUAAAAAUGUUGAUCACCCUCUGUUGCAGGCCUCUUUUGCAUCAGGCAGGAUGUCACCUCGGAAUGUGGAACCCAUUUCCCCUAUGAGUUCUCGAGUGUCUAUGUUAGCUCAACGUGAGAAACAGCAACAGCAACUACGUAGCCUCAGUUCUCGAGAAUUAGGCUCCAACUCUGCUGCCAUUGUUGGCUCCCCGGUAAAUUCUUGGUCAAAAUGGGGUUCUUC
This 347-nucleotide unclassified non-coding RNA is filed under the name Hevea brasiliensis (rubber tree). The record is from RNAcentral. Lineage: Eukaryota; Viridiplantae; Streptophyta; Magnoliopsida; Malpighiales; Euphorbiaceae.